UUACUUUUGCGACACAAAAAAUAAAACACAAAAGAUUAAAAUUGUUACGCCUCUUCUCCCAUGAUCUCCACUUCGCCUUAAUUCGCUCAAUUAUGGAACAACAAGCUGAUUUCAUACAAAAGCUCUCAAUCUCUUCCUUUUCUCAUCCCUCUUUCUGCUUCCUUUAAUCGGGAUUACUUCUCUUCAACAACUGCUUCGACUCCCGCACGACCACGAUUCCCACAACAUGAUAUCAUACAAAAGCUUCAGUAUCUCUUCCUUUCCUAUUUCUGGUUUCCUCCAACUUUUCCGGUUUACAUGGUUGGCGGUUCCAGCACCACAACACCGGACCACAAUGACACUUCUCCCUUCCUCUUUAUUCCAAUCUUCGUUUCUUCUACAAGUUCUUUAGUUUGCUACUGAAGUUUCAAGGAAUUUUGGGUGUUUUAUGUCAUUUAUGUAGUUGUAUAGUAAAUUUGGAACGUGGAUAGGUUUUCUUCCGACAUUUAAGCCUCGGGUUAGAGUGUGAAUGAUUCAUCUCUCUUAGUUUGGUUUGAGAUUGACAUGUAAGCUUACAAGGUUUGAUUCUGAGACUGAAUGGUCAUGUUUGUAGGGUAUAGAUUUGAUCGCUGAAGGUAAUAGAAAAAAGACCAAAAGGACAGCUCCAAAGUGAGAUGAUGUCUACCCUAAGCUUAUUGUCAAGUUUUGUAGCUUUACCGUUUUCUGGUAAGGAGAACUCAGAGCAAGUUCAAUUUUGUGUGAUAUUGAAGAGGCUUUUCUCUAUCUAAGCUUGUGGAAUGCGUGACUGGCAAGGUUCCAUUUCGUUGAAACCCUCUCUCUUAUGUAUCUUUAUGUUGAAAUUGGUCUUUUAGAUCAUGAGUAUUCUGCUUCAUUUCUUUAGAACCAGUUUCCAAUUUGUGAACCUAAAGUGGUUACUGAUAAUCCCCAACUUAGUAUCCAACAUGGAUGUGUUCAUUA
Molecule: non-coding RNA, 957 nt
Organism: Camelina sativa (false flax)
Lineage: Eukaryota; Viridiplantae; Streptophyta; Magnoliopsida; Brassicales; Brassicaceae
Source: RefSeq, a predicted model, not a curated record